UCGUAACCCCUCAUUUUCAGCAACUGAAUCAGUACUUUCAGCUUUCAGCAAUUGAAUCGGGUAAACACAGAAUAUACAUUUUAUAUAAACUCCGAUCUCAGUUUCAAAAUUAAGAACCCUCUAUCUCUCCAAACUCUCAUCUGCGAUCUAAAGCAUCGUAGCCUCAACACACUACCUCUGAAUCGUCUCAUUGUUUUGAAAAUGAAUCGCCAUAUGUUGUUUGUCCCUUCGUUUCCUUCCCACCUUUAAAACCAUAAACCCUAAUGUAAUUCAGCCUCCACCACAUAUUACUCCCCAAAUCCUAUCAUCUCUUUUUAGAACAAGUUCUCCCAAUUUCUACCAUGACUUUUCUUUCUGUCCAAAGGAAAUCAGCCGCCACCAUACCUCUAAUACGUUCCACACCAUUGAACCCUAAUGCCACCACAACCUUUCCAUCUCUACUUGCUUCUAUGUCACCUUCAACUACUGUAGUGUCAUCACCACCACAAAAAACCCACAAUCGUCACUCUUUGAUUCAAAAAGUGAAAUGUGGAGUACGAUCCCUCCUCUCUCCUCAACCAUCGUAUUAUUGCACCGCCAACACACCACUGUGUCACCGCCUCUUCACCGACUUGACUCCUUUAAACCCCACGCCCACCCCCAAACUGUUUUCACCACUCGAUUCUUUAUAAACCCUUUUCACUCACUAUAAACGAUUAAAUAGUACCAGGACCGAUUAAAAAUAAAUUGGUUUUCGACAACAAAACAUGGACACCAUCAUCGUCCCUUCAACCACAAGUAUCGUGGUAUUAUAUCAUAUGGUGCGUCAUUUUAAAUCUUUUCGAAUUCUCAGUUCUAAUUAAGGUAAACCAAAGGUAUCUCUUCAUGUUUGUCUUCUGAACUGAAACUUCAUUGAUCUUGAGUUAACAAACCUUAAAAUCUAAACAUUUUUAUGCUAUGUAUGUCUUAUUUUUUCUGCUUAUAUUUAUGCACUGGUAUGUAAUAAUAUGCGCAAACCUUGGUGUGGAAAAGUUUUUUCCUAUUGCUUCAUUUUUAGAUAAGUUUGGUAGAGAAAAGUUUUAUCUAUGGUAUGAACAUUAUAUAACACAGUUAUAAUGUAUGUCUCAAUCACAAAGUUUGUUGUCAUAGUUCGCAGCUUUACCUGAGAACCACAUGUUUUUAUAAUCGAACAUUUUUUGUCCAUGGCCAUUUGGUUGAAAGUUAAUAGUUCGGGUCUGUUUUAAUCAUAUUCAACAACACCAGAAGUGUGACAAUCAUACCAAAAGAAACCGGGUUAAUCGUUCAACAGGUCUGUUGUAACCUAAACUUUGUUUUAAAUGAACAUAUUUUAAAAAAGGAAAAUACUCUUUUAUCCUAACAUAUUUAUUGUUUUCACAUUCAGGUUAAGUAAUGGAGGUAUUGUUGUGAUAUCACCAGGAACAAACUCCAUGUUUUGUAUAUUGAGACCUGAGAUACUUUAAACAUUUCUUGAGCAUUUUUUUUCUAUUUAGAGUUAAUGCAUACUUUAACCUCAAUCUCCUUAGCUUAACGACUAAAGUCUUCUUUAGUUUUUCUUAUAUUUGGACUAAAUGGUAAAUUUUAACUGUUUAGUAGGAUUUAGUUUGUUUGAUACAUUAAAGAAUUAGAUGGGGAUUGCUUGUAUGAGGUUUUAGACUUUACGGAAGCCAAGGAAACUAUAUGCAAAUAUUAAAAGUUGUCAAGGAAACUAUAUGCCCACUGUUGACAUGAAUCAAUACUUUUGUAUUGUUUUUCAGAUUUUUUAAGUAGACCAAAAGGGAAAAGUGGUUGUAUGGCAGUUUUGUUGGUACUGAUAGCUGCUAAGAUGUUAAGAUAGAGGUAGCGUUUGGAUUUUAGUUGUGGUGGCUGGUUUGAUUUUAUUUAUUUUCUAUUAUUUCACUUAUAAACCAAGUAUAAUAACAAUGCGACCUAAGCAAUGUUGAUUGGUUAUGUGUAUUAGUCUGAUGGUUAAUCAACAAAAUACCUGUCAAUUAGACCUUAGUGAAUAUGUAUGUUACUUACAUUACUUAAUUUGAUAAUGAUAUUUUUUUUUAUCUGUAUAGGGCAUCAUGAUCACAAACACAGUUGCAGUCAAACCGAUGCUAAAGAUGCCUUUAAAUUUCACAGCACCGCAACAUCAUGGGAACUAAGCCCUGUGGCAAAAUUGUCAAGUCUAAGUUUUGAUCCAAACAUAGCAUUGUAAUUCCAAUUUAUUUUUUAACUGAACAUUAUAUCAAUUCAUAAAAAAAAUAUUAUACGUUUCAUUUUUGUAAUAGAUUCAGAAUGUAAAUCAAAAUCUUGCAGAUUUUUUGGUUUUUGUA
Lactuca sativa (garden lettuce) is the source of this 2318-nucleotide non-coding RNA. The record is from RefSeq and is a predicted model, not a curated record. NCBI's taxonomy places the organism in Eukaryota, Viridiplantae, Streptophyta, Magnoliopsida, Asterales, Asteraceae.